AACGCGGAUACCGAAAAGCGAAUAGAGUAGGUA
RNAcentral lists this non-coding RNA (33 nucleotides) under unclassified sequences. RNAcentral describes it as "DUF805b RNA". It matches the Rfam family "DUF805b RNA". Rfam says of the family: Bacteroidetes, Chlorobi (1 example), Proteobacteria. Lineage (Flavobacteria) The record is from RNAcentral.